This 451-nucleotide ribosomal RNA is filed under the name uncultured bacterium. RNAcentral's name for it is "partial 16S ribosomal RNA". It matches the Rfam family "Bacterial small subunit ribosomal RNA", at positions 354 to 796 of the family's 1533-position model. The record is from RNAcentral.
GUGGGGAAUAUUGGACAAUGGGGGGAACCCUGAUCCAGCCAUGCCGCGUGUGUGAAGAAGGCCUUUUGGUUGUAAAGCACUUUAAGCGAGGAGGAGGCUACCGAGAUUAAUACUCUUGGAUAGUGGACGUUACUCGCAGAAUAAGCACCGGCUAACUCUGUGCCAGCAGCCGCGGUAAUACAGAGGGUGCAAGCGUUAAUCGGAUUUACUGGGCGUAAAGCGCGCGUAGGUGGCCAAUUAAGUCAAAUGUGAAAUCCCCGAGCUUAACUUGGGAAUUGCAUUCGAUACUGGUUGGCUAGAGUAUGGGAGAGGAUGGUAGAAUUCCAGGUGUAGCGGUGAAAUGCGUAGAGAUCUGGAGGAAUACCGAUGGCGAAGGCAGCCAUCUGACCUAAUACUGACACUGAGGUGCGAAAGCAUGGGGAGCAAACAGGAUUAGAUACCCUGGUAGUCC